Molecule: ribosomal RNA, 526 nt
Filed under: uncultured bacterium
Lineage: Bacteria
Description: bacterial SSU rRNA
Rfam family: Bacterial small subunit ribosomal RNA
Source: RNAcentral
AGAGUUUGAUCAUGGCUCAGAUUGGACGCUGGCGGCAUGCCUUACACAUGCAAGUCGAACGGCAGCGCGGGAGCAAUCCUGGCGGCGAGUGGCGAACGGGUGAGUAAUAUAUCGGAACGUGCCCUAGAGUGGGGGAUAACCAGUCGAAAGACUGGCUAAUACCGCAUACGAUCUAAGGAUGAAAGUGGGGGAUCGCAAGACCUCAUGCUCGUGGAGCGGCCGAUAUCUGAUUAGCUAGUUGGUGGGGUAAGAGCCCACCAAGGCGACGAUCAGUAGCUGGUCUGAGAGGACGACCAGCCACACUGGGACUGAGACACGGUCCAGACUCCUACGGGAGGCAGCAGUGGGGAAUAUUGGACAAUGGGCGCAAGCCUGAUCCAACCAUGCCGCGUGUGUGAAGAAGGCCUUCGGGUUGUAAAGCACUUUUGUCCGGAAAGAAAAGCAUUGGAUUAAUACUCGGGUGUUAUGACGGUACCGGAAGAAUAAGCACCGGCUAACUACGUGCCAGCAGCCGCGGCGGUAAUAC